Non-coding RNA from Heterocephalus glaber (naked mole-rat), 3406 nucleotides. Lineage: Eukaryota; Metazoa; Chordata; Mammalia; Rodentia; Bathyergidae. The record is from RefSeq and is a predicted model, not a curated record.
AUGCUUGGCCUACCAUGCGUGGGCUGGUUAUCUCUAGUCAGGUCCCUCAGCAGGCUCGCACCUGCCCAGCCUGUCCCUGCUCUCUUAGCCACAUGAUGACAUUGAAUAGUUACCACGUAAAAGGUAGAGGUGGACAAAGUUCUUUCGAACCAGAUUGCUUAAAGCUGGGUGGGGACAAGUUUGGGGCAAUAAAGAGCAACCGUAGUGAGGAGGAUGAAGUCUAAUGGAUGGGUUCAAAGAGGAUGCCAACACCUGUUCAGAGGCCACAGCAGGAAGUUCUUCUCUUGCUAGCCAUUCUUGUUGCCACAGGGAAUCUGCUACCAUUGGGAUAGUCAUAAAGCUUUUUCUUUUUGAUAAGAAUUACUGUAUGGAAAUAUUACCUCAGAGGACUGUGAUAGGUAAGAGCUACCCCCUACAUAGCUAGAGCAGCUGAGAACUCAGAAAGAUGCCUAGUCCAUAGGCCAAAUUAUCACAGGUGUGAAGAUCACUGAGCUCGGCCCGAGGUCAGUAUCACAGACACAUGGUACUGGCCUGAGGCCCGUUUGGGAAAGUACAGAAGUAGACUAGUAAUUUCAACAGCUACUGAAUUUUUUUUUUCUUGGUACCUGGGAUCAAACUCAGGACCUUGCGCUUGCAAGGCAGGCAUGGUGCCACUGAGCUAAAUCCCCGGCCCAUGAAGGUUUUAUACUUUGAGUGAAAAGCUAAAAGUUUCACCUUUUCUUUCCCCACCUCAUGUAAUGUAAGAUCAAAAUUAUUGGGUCAUAUAUUCCAAAAUUCCUCAGGAUUCAAAACCAAACAGGAAUUGGCAGUAUUAAAAGAAUGCCAUCCGUAAAAUUACUAACAACUGUGCUCUUGUGGUCUUUUUCCUAAACCACAUCCCAUGUUUUUUAUUUAGUAAUUCAGAGUCAAUCAUUUAACCCACCCCACAAAACCUGUGCUUGGUACUAUGUUAGGCCUAGAAAUGUGAUUUUUUUUUUUUAAGACACAAAAGUUCACAGAUUAGUUAUUUAAAUCUAUAUUUACAGUUUCAUCAGAAAAAUGGGUUUUGUUGACAGAAGAUUCAAUUUCUUCACCAUAUAAAAACAUUGAAUGAGCCUGGGAUUUAGCUCAGUGGUUCUGCCACCUGCCUCACAAGCACAAGGUCCUGAGUUUGAUCCCCGGUGCCAAAAAAAAACACUGAAUGAAGUGGUGACUACUGGGAGAGAAAACAGGGAUAUAAUUCACACUGAACUGUGAAAUAUUACCCCUGGCUGCCUGGUAAGCUGACACCCAAGUUCACACAAAUCAUUCAUCUUCAAGGACAGGGAAUCCUAACCUGAGGGCCCCACUUAAAGAACCCUGCAGUUAAUUUCAUUUCACUAACACCAGCCCGAUCUUCAUUUAUUCCAUUUUAAUUGAUAAAAUUUUUUCUUAUUGCUUUUAAAUGUUGCUUUAAAGAAAAAAAUAAUCUCAAUGCUUAGCUGCAAGACGCAGAAAUUUGGUGUGAGCUAUAUGAUACCAUCUCCCUUCCACUGGGCAAGAGGUUUUAAAUAUCCUGACUAGAAUCCCUAAAUCUUUAAUGUAAUGCAAGAUCUUUGUAAGAUAUACUUUGUAAGCUGAAGGGCACUUGAGCAAGUUUUCCUUAGUCCGGUUAGCUACUUUCUAAUUUACCAUCUGGUAAAGUGCUAAGUGUUAAAUGCCUGGGCUUUAGGGCUUCUUGAGUUUCUUCUUCAAGAAAAUAUAGAGCAGUUCUUCCCCAUUGGUACCUCCUGCAAGACUAGUCCCUGGACCAAGGCCGUGGGUGAAGGGGUGUUCCUGUUCUGGUGGCUUUGCCUGCCCGGGACACACUUAGACCACGGCUUUUGCCAGCAGGGAUGCCACCGUGGGCUCUGAACCUCUUCACAUUUCCCACCGAUGUCCUCAGACCCCAGCCCCACCCUGACUUCCCUGACACCUCCCUUUGUCACAAGAGGAAGUAGCCCUGCCCCCGGAAGCUAUCACCCUCUGAAACCUGGAAGUGGGCCACAUGAUGUAAGAGGAAGCUGAAGGCCGGCUGAAGACAAUGAGCUGGUACACUGGUCUGGAAGCUGGGUCCGCCUUCCAGCCAUGUGAGUUUUCCAGGUUCCCAUUUGAAAGCAAUUCUCAAACCACCCCUCUGGUUUCAGGGAUGACUGUGAAGGAUUCUGACGUAUUUACUGAAGAGCUCAUAGACCAGCUUGGGAGGAUAACCAAAUAAUAUCCAUAAAAGAGUUAUGAAAUGAGAUAAACUCCUGGAGGAGGGGCGUGUCUUAUACUUUCCUUUUUCUUUUAAAUUUACCAGUGCCUGCCUGUGAAUCCUCAGGAUUAAAAAUGCUUCCUUAGUUACCAAUUUACAUUAAUGUAUCCAUAGCCCCAGAAAGAACAACUACAGAUUGAGCAACUACAUCUAAGCACUUUUAAACAGAUCAACUCCACUCAUAAUACAGCCACUUGUGGUCAUCAGUUACUUAUCUCUUUCCUCAGAAGUGUCUUCAUUCCCCGGAAAUGGAAAUGUGCCCUCACCAGGAGCAGGUGGCACCCUGCUGGCAGCCUCCCUCCCAGGAUAGUAUCAACACUUCACGUGGGGCCAUUCCCUCGUAACAACUGAUGUAUCCUUGCAGUAGCUUACUCUCCCCCAUCCUCAAACCAACUUUGAAAAUACCAUACAAGCAGAACAUCACAGUAAAGGUGGGCUGACCCCUGCCCGGCAGGAGAAAAGCCUCUGCUGGAACUGGACCUGCGAAGACCCAGCACAAUGAGGAUCAGAUGAGGGGAAAGUCAGCAACAGUACACCGUGAAGCCACCUGAAACGGGCAUGCAAUCAGAUCGAGCUGUAGGAUGGCUCCCCUCUUAAGAGCUGGCUUGGGGUGACAGAGGCUGGCCUGUGACCCGCACUUCCCUUCCUGACUUACACGGUCGCUGGCUUCUUGCUGGGCACCGGAAUAAAGAAUCCAUUCUCGGGGGCCUGGUGUAGCAGAUGAGGUUUGCUUGCUGUAACCCAAGAUCCUUAACGGAGGCCUGUGGGGACAGAAUGACAGAAACAGCUCAAGAACUAAGAUUAAGAAAACCUCUAAGAAAGAAAGGAAACUGAAGGGGAAGUGGAGAGACAGCAAUUCAGGACCAUGAGCUGAGGAUUCUCCAGGCAUUAACUGCUGCCUGGCCUGGCACACAAGAGUCCCCUAAGAGUGGUGCUGGUGGCCCAUUCAUUGAUGAGAAUAUGAAGCUUCGAGAAGUUAAGUGUCUUGCCAAAAGACAGUGCCUCCUUUAGAAAACAAAAGCACAACAACAGCAAAACAAAACAAAAAGCAAGAACUGAACUCAGUUCUUCUCACCUGUAGACUUAAUUUUUCAUUGUUUUAUGUUGUGUAGAUAACAGAUGCUAUUAUGGUUUAUUACCUGGCAGACCCCC